RNAcentral lists this ribosomal RNA (309 nucleotides) under uncultured bacterium. RNAcentral describes it as "bacterial SSU rRNA". It matches the Rfam family "Bacterial small subunit ribosomal RNA", at positions 504 to 812 of the family's 1533-position model. The record is from RNAcentral.
CGUGCCAGCAGCCGCGGUAAUACGUAGGGUGCGAGCGUUAAUCGGAAUUACUGGGCGUAAAGCGUGCGCAGGCGGUUAUGUAAGACAGAUGUGAAAUCCCCGGGCUCAACCUGGGAACUGCAUUUGUGACUGCAUGGCUAGAGUACGGUAGAGGGGGAUGGAAUUCCGCGUGUAGCAGUGAAAUGCGUAGAUAUGCGGAGGAACACCGAUGGCGAAGGCAAUCCCCUGGACCUGUACUGACGCUCAUGCACGAAAGCGUGGGGAGCAAACAGGAUUAGAUACCCUGGUAGUCCACGCCGUAAACGAUGA